UUCCUUUAUAAUAAUUUUAGACAAAAAGACCCUAUGAAGCUUACAAUGAAUAUACAACAAAUUAAUUAAGAAUUGUUUCUUUGGGGAAAAGGUUAACGAUUGUAUUUUUAGAGUGUAAGAUCCUGAGAAGAACAACGAAAAAGCUCCUCUAGGGAUA
Molecule: ribosomal RNA, 157 nt
Filed under: Subeucalanus subcrassus
Lineage: Eukaryota; Metazoa; Arthropoda; Copepoda; Calanoida; Eucalanidae
Description: partial 16S ribosomal RNA
Source: RNAcentral